ACGGGAGGCAGCAGCCAGGAAUAUUGGACAAUGGGGGAAACCCUGAUCCAGCCAUGCCGCGUGAGUGAAGAAGGCCUUCGGGUUGUAAAGCUCUUUUGUACGGGAAGAUGAUGACGGUACCGUAAGAAUAAGCACCGGCUAACUUCGUGCCAGCAGCCGCGGUAAUACGAAGGGUGCAAGCGUUGUUCGGAAUUACUGGGCGUAAAGGGCGUGUAGGUGGAUAUAUUAGUCAGGAGUGAAAUCCCAGGGCUUAACCUUGGAACUGCUUUUGAUACGGUAUAUCUAGAGUGCGAGAGGGGACAAUGGAAUAUCCAGUGUAGAGGUUAAAUUCGUAGAUAUUGGAUAGAACACCGGUAGCGAAGGCGAUUGUCUGGCUCGUAACUGACGCUGAGGCGCGAAAGCGUGGGGAGCAAACAGGAUUAGAUACCCUGGUA
This 434-nucleotide ribosomal RNA is filed under the name uncultured Rhodospirillaceae bacterium. RNAcentral describes it as "partial 16S ribosomal RNA". It matches the Rfam family "Bacterial small subunit ribosomal RNA", at positions 341 to 792 of the family's 1533-position model. Lineage: Bacteria; Pseudomonadati; Pseudomonadota; Alphaproteobacteria; Rhodospirillales; Rhodospirillaceae. The record is from RNAcentral.